RNAcentral lists this ribosomal RNA (327 nucleotides) under uncultured bacterium. RNAcentral describes it as "bacterial SSU rRNA". It matches the Rfam family "Bacterial small subunit ribosomal RNA", at positions 115 to 458 of the family's 1533-position model. The record is from RNAcentral.
AUGUAGGUAUCUGCCCUUUGGCCUGGAAUAACACGAGGAAACUUGUGCUAAUACCGGAUAAGUCUUUACGGAGAAAGCUUUAUGCACCAUUGGAUGAGCCUGCACUUGAUUAGUUUGUUGGUGGGGUAAUGGCCUACCAAGACUGUGAUCAAUAGCUGAUUUGAGAGGAUGAUCAGCCACAUUGGGACUGAGACACGGCCCAAACUCCUACGGGAGGCAGCAGUGGGGAAUCUUGCACAAUGGAGGAAACUCUGAUGCAGCGAUGCCGCGUGAGUGAAGAAGGCCCUUGGGUUGUAAAGCUCUUUCGUCGGGGAAGAAAAUGACUGU